UGACAGGCCCCUGUGGUCACGGUUUCCUCAUCUGCCACGUAGGGACUUGGAGUCACAAAGCUGGGGCGAGGGCCCCGGCCUGCAGGGCGGGUCGCAGGCUGUUCGUGUGACGUUCACAGGGAGGCACCACACGCAAGGGCAUGCAGCCCCAGCCCUCCAGGCUAGCCCUGUGCUGCCGGUCCCUGCCCCUUCUGGUUCCUACCUGCCAGUGGCCGGUGACAGCUUCACAGCAGUGGAAGCCUCACCCAUAUGCAGCUGGACGGUGGCAGCUGUCCGCCGCUGAGCUCCAGCCCAGGGCCCACAGGGUUCAGCAGAAUUACAGCCAGGGCGUGGAGGCGCUGGAGAGGGCCAAUUUGGAAGGGGAGACAGCCAGGAGAGUGUGGUGACACCUCCAUCUGGGCCUGCCGCUGCGCUGGGUUCAGCAGCGCUUAUUUUACUUUGAGCUUCUAGCAGAGGAGUUCUGCUUGGCUGUCCCGGCCGUCCAGUGUCCUGACUUGACGUGACCCUUCUGUUAGGCCGAAGACAGGCUGGGCUGGAUCCCUCAGGUCAGACAAGGGGGCCCAGGGAGGGCUGGUAAGCCGGGAGGCCGCCCAGCUGUUGAGUGGCAGGGCCAGAACUUGAACCCAGGUCUUCAUGAACCACGGCAGACACUGGUGGCCUGGGGUGAUUCUGGAUGCGAGCAGCAUCUGAUGUGUGGCACUGGCUGGAGGCACAGACAUCAAGCAGGAAGCAGCAAUAUUCCCUGACUUGGAGUCAAUCGCUCUGAUGUGAAUUAUAGCCACACCAGCUCUCUUCUGAUUAAAAUUUACUUGGUCAUCUGCAGGUCGUCUUCUACUGAUCAUUGUUCUCUUUAGUAGAGUUGUCAUUCUUCUUUAUGUUUAUUGUAUCUUUGGAUGUGAACUAGAUGUUGUGAAAAAAGAACAGCGUAAACUGAAGUAGCCCAGGUCUGCCUGCUGCUGCAUCCUCAACAAACAUUCUGUGGGGGAGAAUUGGCAGGCAGGGAGUGCCAUCUACAUGUGGCCCAAUCAGAUGCCAACCCAUCAUGCCAGCCCUUGUGGUUGUUACAAAUGAGCUUGGUUUUCCCUUAGUUCAGCAAUUACCCCUAUUGCAGGCUUGCUUCCUCACCUGUCCAUGUCCCCAAGAACAAAAACAACCAUUGGGUCUCUAUUCCUUUGUGAAAGGUUUGUCUAUCAUAAGAACUUUGUUCAUCUAGAUUUCUCUGCAUCCUUCACUCUUUGAGGGGUUUAUAAAAUUUGCUUUUGUGGCUUAAUAGUUUCUCAGUGUUCUGGUGGAAUGGCUGCCUUUCAUGACCUCUUCAUCCCAACUGAGUCAGGUGAUUGUUCCUCUAAUGCAAGAUCAUCUCAUUUUCAAGUUGUCAACAAAUUCUAAUGUUUCAAAA
Molecule: long non-coding RNA, 1399 nt
Organism: Talpa occidentalis (Iberian mole)
Lineage: Eukaryota; Metazoa; Chordata; Mammalia; Eulipotyphla; Talpidae
Exons: 4
Source: RefSeq, a predicted model, not a curated record